CGCUGACAGCACCUAGCCGCGGGGCGAGGCGCGCGCUGACAGGAGGCAGGAGCGCGCGGCCGCUCACUAAUGACACGCGCUGUGCCUCCCUCACUCCGCGCCGCUUCCUCGGCGAACGCGCAGCUCCAACCACGACAAAACUGACGGAGUGACGAAAAGUUUUGCCAGACAGAGAAAGAAACUUUCUGUAACAAGGUGACAGCACUCGAGGCAGGCAGCUGUCCAGUCUGCGGACCGUCUCCAGAGAGAGAAAGGGAGGACAGGAAAUAGAGAGGAAAGACACACAGAGCGCGCGCGAGAGAGAGAAAGGAGGAAAACGGAGUACCCAGAGGAAACCCCUGAAGCACGGGGAGAGCAUGCAAACUCCACACACACAGGGUGAAGGCGGAAAUCGAACCCCCAACCCUGGACGUGCGAGGCAAACGUGUUAAUCACGAAGCCACUGUGAUGUAGAACAUUCACUGUAUGGUCAUGUGUGCCUGGAUGAUGUCCAUAGACAACCACUCCCAUUUGAGGAAACCUAAAACCUAAACAAUACUAGUCUGCCAUCACUUUAUUGGUUUGACCCGGACUGGGUCGUAACAUCAGAGUCUCUCAGGCAGAACAGACACAACAUGCCAAAGCAGCCAUUUACCUAACAGAAAAAUGACUUUCAAAAGCCACCACUGCGCCCUGGCUCUCCUUUAAAGCCACAUUUGACAAGGAUCUCAUUUGAUGCUCAAUAUUGCCGUCAUCAAACAGUCAGCCAUCUCAGCCAACCUGUUCAUCAUAGCAGCAUCACUUUUGCACUGCAGUUCGAUUACGGCCCUUGAGGACAUUUUGCUCCUAUAGAUACUACACAGGAAGUGCGAAGAAUGGAGAUCUUUGGAGCUUCUUUUUCUGUUGAUUAAAAUGAGAAUUUAUGCAAGGAUUUGUGUAUAAACUUUAAUGCACAUAGGACACAUGUCUGUUCAUUACUGAGAGUCUCACAAUAAAAUGUACUAUAUUAACAGUUCAGUGCAACAAUGAUAAAGUUGUAUGAAAA
Ictalurus punctatus (channel catfish) is the source of this 1024-nucleotide long non-coding RNA. NCBI's taxonomy places the organism in Eukaryota, Metazoa, Chordata, Actinopteri, Siluriformes, Ictaluridae. The record is from Ensembl.